Molecule: long non-coding RNA, 520 nt
Organism: Sarcophilus harrisii (Tasmanian devil)
Lineage: Eukaryota; Metazoa; Chordata; Mammalia; Dasyuromorphia; Dasyuridae
Exons: 2
Source: RefSeq, a predicted model, not a curated record
UGGGCCAAGGCUGGGGUGGUCACAGCAUUCACAAGAGUGUAAGAGCAGGCAGCAUAAGGAACAUCUACAAAGGAACAAGAGGGAAAAUAGCCAAGACUUUAUAGACAAUCCCUCUGCUUUAGUUAGGUGGUUGCAGAUAAAGUAUAAAAGACAUCUGAUAAUAGUAUAAAAGACAUCUUUAGAUCUUCACUGGCUCUGAGGACUGCUUCAAAAGAUAGAAGAGGAACACUAAUCAACACAUCUGCCAGAUCAAACUUUGACCAAGGGACCUCUGAGAGUUGUUAACUGUCUCCCAUCCUGUUAAGAAACUACAUGCUCACUUACCCUUAACAAAAGCAUGAAUCAUCAAGUGACAUCAAGUUACUUUUGAGUUGUUUGGAAUAGUGAGGGGUAGAAUAACUUGCCUCUCUUUGUGCCACUUGCCUCCAGUCAGGAGGGAAAAAACUCAGAAAAUGGAGUUCCAAAACUAGUCAUGUGAUCACAACCACAACUAACAAUUAUAUAUUUGCUAUGUUCCAAA